CCAACGACCAAAGCAAAGGACAGCAGAACUGACUGACACAGCUCAGAAAAUAUCCAAAGCUCUGUAUGCUCUGGAAAGGAAGACAAGAAAUGCUAAAGACUCUGGAUAUUGCUCUGUUUCUAUAAGGUCCCACCCAUAUACCAUCUCUUCUUUUGGAUUUCCUUUGGCAGUAACCUGAAGUUAUAUAAGUGGCAUGUUCCCAAGUACAAAGGGAGCCCUUCUAUUGCUUCUGCUUACAAAGAGGUGUCAACCUAAGAAAAAGCCAGAACAAGCCAAAGUUCAGGGUUCCCUUGUAUGGAAGUUCUCAGGAGAACAACACUCUCAGAGUCCCACUGUCUCAAAGAAUUCUUAAUGGACAGCUAUACUUGGCCCCAAGGUUUCAACCUCACACUGAAGAAAGUGACAUAAGAAAACACAAGUCCCAGUGCUAUCAGGGGCUAUCUGGAAAAGCUGCUUAAACAGCAAGUGAAAGAAGGCUCUCCCCUACCCCGUUCUAGUUAUAAACAUCACAUCUCUUAACAUACGGCCAAGAUGAUGAAGCUGAUGGAGUACGAUGGUGUUCAAACUUAGAUAAGCUAAUUCAAUAGACAACUAGAAAUGCCAAUGAGUCUAUCACUCACCCUGAAGUUAUUUGAAGGAUCCUUGAGACUCUUUUGGAUUGCUGCUUGGAGAACAUUCCUGUAACUUGUCCCUGCUCCUUGAACUAUAAAAGCAGAAGGGAGGUACUGAGUU
RNAcentral lists this long non-coding RNA (732 nucleotides) under Homo sapiens (human). Its description in RNAcentral is "CFLAR antisense RNA 1". Lineage: Eukaryota; Metazoa; Chordata; Mammalia; Primates; Hominidae. The record is from RNAcentral.